This 696-nucleotide long non-coding RNA is filed under the name Marmota monax (woodchuck). The record is from RNAcentral. Lineage: Eukaryota; Metazoa; Chordata; Mammalia; Rodentia; Sciuridae.
CUGCCCACAGUCAUGGAUUCUCUCCUCUUUAGCAGUUUAGAUAGCUAGCCUGGUGAUGAGGAGCACUUGGUAAGCUUAGUCCUUUUCAGCUUCUCUUCUUUUUUUUUUUUUGAUAUUUAUUCUUAAGCUUUAGGUGGAGACAAUAUCUUUAUUUUACAUUUAUGUGGUGCUGAGGAUCAAACCCGGUGCCUUGUGCAUGCUAAGCGAGCGCUCUACCACUGAGCCACAACCCCAGCCCCAAAGCUUGUCUUCUUUUCAGGUCUUGAUUGAAAUCAAGUUGCCAAGCUUGAAGUGAUGAACUGAGAACUCCAAAAGCAGAGUCUGAAGGCAGCUCAUAAUAAUUGAGCUAGCGAAAAACAAAAACCAAAACAGAGACACAGGUCAAGUCUGCCUAGGGAAGAGUUAGAAAGAUUUGUAGGUCGCAAAUUGACUUAGAAAAAACUUGUGACUCGGAGAUUUUUGUGAUAUUUUAUCAGGCACUCCUGUAUAAAAAUCCUCCCUUUAUAACCUCACAGUUUUACUUAAUUUCAGGAGGACUGAUACAAAUAUGCAUCUGAGGUAACAGUAAUGGAACCAUCGUCUUAUUUUAAAUGUCCAUGUAUGACUGGCGCAGUGGUGUAUUUCUGUAAUCCCACCAACUUGGGAGGCCGAGGCAGGAGGAUUGAAAGUUCAAAGUCAACCUAAGCAGUUUAUCAA